This 228-nucleotide ribosomal RNA is filed under the name uncultured bacterium. Its description in RNAcentral is "partial 16S ribosomal RNA". It matches the Rfam family "Bacterial small subunit ribosomal RNA", at positions 524 to 754 of the family's 1533-position model. The record is from RNAcentral.
UACAGAGGGUGCAAGCGUUAAUCGGAAUUAUUGGCGUAAAGCGCAUGUAGGUGGUUUUGUAAGUUUGAUGUGAAGCCUGGGCUUAACCUGGGAAUGGCGUUGAAAACUGCAAGACUGGAGUCAAACAGAGGGCCGUGGAAGUUUCCGGUGUAGCGGUGAAUGCGUAGAGAAUCGGAAGAAUAUCGAUGGCGAAGGCAGCGGCUGGGUUAGACUCGACGACUGAGGUGC